This 246-nucleotide long non-coding RNA is filed under the name Hordeum vulgare. RNAcentral describes it as "long non-coding RNA (HVUL_LNC012968)". The record is from RNAcentral. Lineage: Eukaryota; Viridiplantae; Streptophyta; Magnoliopsida; Poales; Poaceae.
GUAUAUAGUAAGAGCGAACUGUUUGACCAAAGCUCUUGCUUGCUCUCCCUUGAUGCAUGGCUAGGCCAUAGACGUGAAACAAAUCAAACGCUGGAAACACGAGAGACAAACGACAAGAUGCAGCAGGCUGCAUGCAUGCGCGUCAACCUCCUUUGAUGGCUACCACAAACAUGGAGCUCGGGCUAGCUGUUGCUUGGUGAUACAUACUCGUGGGCUGGUGGCACCUGACCCGAGUCUUUUCUCUAC